This 68-nucleotide transfer RNA is filed under the name Chlamydosaurus kingii (frilled dragon). RNAcentral describes it as "tRNA-Asp". Lineage: Eukaryota; Metazoa; Chordata; Lepidosauria; Squamata; Agamidae. The record is from RNAcentral.
UAAGACCCUAGUAAAAAAAUUACAUGAGUCCGUCAGACUUAAAUUGCCAACUAUUCAGGCGGGCCUUA